Long non-coding RNA from Leopardus geoffroyi (Geoffroy's cat), 8357 nucleotides. RefSeq lists it as uncharacterized. Lineage: Eukaryota; Metazoa; Chordata; Mammalia; Carnivora; Felidae. The record is from RefSeq and is a predicted model, not a curated record. The transcript is spliced from 2 exons.
GACUUCAUAUUUUUAAAAUCAUUAAAACACUGUCUCUCAUUCAUGAAAUGAGCCACUAGUUCCUAUUUAAUACCUUUGGUUAAGAAAGAUAUAGACAUUGUGUUUUUUGUUUUUUUGUUUUUUUGAAUUCUGGUCAUAUUUAGUCCUUUGGACCAGUGGAAUACCUUCAAAGCAAUUUGAAGCGGUCUUGCUCUUCUUACUCCCUGCAAUGGGAAUUCAAUGUGGUAUUGACAAUAUGAUUUGAAAAGAAUAAAGCAGUCCCCCCAAACCACAGAAGAAUGUGUCAGGAAAUGAAACCACCCGAUGUCAAAAUUAUUUGAAUACUAUGAAGUGUUAUUUCUUUAGCAGAUCAUUCCAGUCACAUCAUAGAGGGGGCUUUUCUGUUCCAUAUAUUUCAGAUUUGCUGGGUUGGUCUCUUUGUUAUCUGUGCAGAAAUCUAAAGUGGGAUGCUGAAAGCGUAUCCACAGCAGCAAUGAUACUGUGAAAAAGGGGUGUUAGUACUCAUUAGGGUAUAUGGAGGAUGAGUCCCAAGAUGCUUCUUCUAAAGGAGGAGAAUAGAAGGGAAUGAUGGGACUCUUGCCAGUGUGCUCAGGGAGUGGCUCGCAUCUGGUGGAAGAUUUCCAGAAGACAACAGGCAAAAGGAAAUGUGGCAAGAACGCCUUUACAAGACUUUAUGUGCUUUAGGGCUCAGCGCUCCAGAACUCUGUGGGUUCAGCUGUGUGUUUACCCUGGAGGUCCAAUGACAUGGAAAAGUAUUUUGGAGUAUGUCUUUUGAGUCCACAUCAAAGUUCUCAAGAUACUCAACAAAGCCUGACCCUGUAAAGCCUGACCUUGUAAUGAGCACAGAUAUUUUUCUGCCUCCGGUUUGGCUCAAAUGGAGUAUGUCUGGGGACCUUGAAGAAGAGCUUUACUGCUGCCCUUACAAUUUGUUCAGUGCCUCGAUUUAUUCAGACGUUAGAGGAGUCUAGGUUGUAGAAGCAGAUGAAAUAGAUCUUGUCCAAGUCCCAUUACUAGUUGGCCUCAGGCAAGUUGCUGACUUUCUAAGACUCUGGCUUUUCAACUAUAAAAUGGAGGUAAUGAUCAUAAUGUACUGGACCAGUGAUGUACUGCUCUGUCCCUAUACUAUAAUCUCCAUCAGGGCAUGGCCCAAAUUUGUCUUUUUUUCAUGCUUGUCCCUGAUGCGUAGUACCAUACCUGACAAAUAAUGUUAGCUAUUAUUAUUAUUGCCAUAUAAAUUUUGUAUAAAGAUUAAACUGGGAAAUGCCCCAAGAAGGGGAAGAAUAUUGUAACACAAAUUUAAACCCACUACCCAGGGAUAAGGUGCUAUAAAAUUUGAGAAUCUCUUAACUUCUGCCAUUUUCCUGUUUUGGAAUAUUUUAGCUUGUAAUGAAAUGUACAGCAUUCUGCCCCCCACUUUUAUGUAUAGAAAGAAGUCUUCUUUAAUUUUUUUUUUUUUUGUGUGUGUGUGAUGUGGGGAGGGAUAGGAAUCCUAUGAUUCCAGACAGAAAAUAUUGUACUUCAGUUGACUUUGAAAUGGGCUUCCAUUCCAUGAAUAUAAUUAACCCAAAGAAGGUCAAACUCGCUAGUACUUGGGUGACAAAAACUCCUGAAUUUUUACUGGCAUGUGUGCUGCAUUGCCAGCCUCUUGGCACACAGAGUUCUUUAAUCCAAGUGACUGGAUUGGAUUUGAAAAUGAUAGAGCUAGAGAAUUUUUAGAAAGGGCAAUGUCAAAACAUAAAUUUCAAAAAUGGAAAGAUUUGAUCUUUGGUAAAAAAAUGGUUUUAUUUUCUGAUGGGAAAAAUAGGUCUACUAAAGAUGAAUCACACUUUAGAUUUCUCUUACUCACUCUGAACAGAGCCAAAGUAGAAAUGUUAACAGGGAAGUCCAUUUUCAUUAUUAGUAUGAGCCAAGAAAUGGUUUAAAAACAGUGGUUGGAGCAAUGCUUUUACAGUUUCACAUAAGGUAAUUAUGAAGAAAAUAAUGUCAUUUGCUGCUAUUAUUGUAAGAGUCUCAUAGUUAAGAGUAUUUCUAUAAUUUUUGAUUGUGAACUCACUUAUGUUGGACUAAGCAUGCCAGUUUAAAGAGACCAAGUGUACAUUAUGUUCUGUGUACUCAGUGGUAAAAUUACUGAACUGUCACGUACCUGUUUUUAAAUUUAUGCUUUAGUAUUUGUCUUUCAAAGCAGGUAUGCUUCAGUUUUGGCCAUGAAUCUGGAGAAAACUUGCUAUUUAAAAAUGGUGUGGGAUAAAUCUUUUAAAGUAAAUCUCCAGUUUAGCUUUUUAAAAAAACCCCAAACUUUCAGAUAGUAGUUUUAUUUCAAGCAAGGUACACUCCUGGUUUGUUUACUUGGCUUUAGUCACAAUUUCUCAUCAGACCAAUGGUUUAGAUCUUUGAGAUGUCAGGCUGUGCAUUUUGUGUGAUGUGACUGUUCUACGAGAGACAUCAAACUUUAGUCUUGACCCCAUCAGUCCCUUGGGUUAACUAACGGAUCCACUAGUUAUCAUGGCUAAUUUAAUGGGGAUGUUGAUGGUUAAAUGGAUGUUACAUCCCUUAUUUCAGCUUUUUGCUCUGCUGGAUAAGAGCCACAGCCCACCUGGGGACUGACCCCAAAGUGUUAAAUUCAAAUACAUUCUGGAGGUUAGAGAUGGUGGCAGUGAUGGACCCAGAACUAGGGUCAUCACUGCUGUAGACCUGUAACUGACCCAAGUCAAGGACAGUGGCAAGGAUUUUCUCAAGUCCUGGGCUGAGUGACUUCUCACUCUAAGCACAUUUGAGGCUCAGGAAAUCUCUCCUAGAGGUAUAUGCAUACUUUCCAACACAUUUCUCCUCAAACAUCACAGACAUGUUUCCAUCUCGGGGCUUUUACACAUACUCUUUCCUUUGUCUGGAAUGUUCUCUUCUGGGUAUCUAUCUGGCUUGCUCCCUCAUUUCCUUCAGGCCUCUGCUCAAAUGUUACUUUCUGCCCUAGUUAAUACCCCCACUUGCCCCACCAACCCUAUAUACUUUCCUUGCUUGCCUUGUUACCAUAGCAUUUCACCAUCUCUUAUGCAAGAUUUUUAAAAACUUAUUUAUUUGUUUAUUGUUUGUUUCCCCAAAGUAGAAUGUAAGAUUCAUGAGGGAUGGAACUUUGCUUUGUUUAUUGCCAUAUCCCCAGUGCCUAGAAAAGUACCUGGCAUGAAAUGUAUAUUUAUUGAUUAAAUGAAUGAACUGCAUACACCUUAUGUAUUAAUGGUCAGCUUAAAUGUACUAAUCAUACUCUGAGAAUGAGAGAAUCAGUUCUGUUUUCUACUUUUCUAUUAAUAAGUUCAAAAAUCCAUUUUAUCAGUGAAACAGGAGGUAAAACAUAUAUAAUACACAGCCGAACUUGAUGAAAGAAAACCUGAUAGAUAGAAGUUCAUUCACAUUUUAGAAAUUUUUGUGCAGUGAUGAAAACCAAUACUGUUAGAAUCAUCUUAAAAGGUCAUGCUAAAUAAGCCACAGACAAGAGUAAGUUGCUUUUCCAUUGAAGUUCCCAAAUUUACUCUUAACAGAGUAUCGACCAUGUUUUAAACAUGACUUUAGACUGAGACUUCUAACACUGUUGCCUUGGUAGUUAAAAUCCCAUCUCACUAUGAACUGCUACUCAUUUCUCUCUCUUUUUUUUUUUUUUUUUUUUUUGACCCCAGCAAAUUCUAUAAAUGCCUUGCCUGGCUAUGAUUCAAAAAGAGCUCACAGAUGAGAAUGCUGGGGAUAGAUAAUUUCAGCUUCUUUAUCUGUCAUGCUCAUAACUGAACACUCUAAUGGCUUGUAACAGUUUAAAAAUAAAAGACCAACAACAAACAAAAUUGUGGCACUUUUAGUAAAUUGAAAAUUCAAAUCAGGUAUGUUAAUCACCACACACACACACACGCACACACACACACGGCUAUCAUCUUGCAGGUAGGGGAAGGCCCUUGAAAAAGAGACACAGAGCUUGUCUGAUAAUUUACAUAGCGGCUCCUAUUUAUUUCAUUGCAAACUCUUCUUUGAAGGUGGCCUGAAGUCAGAUAGGUGUACCAUGAGUUCUUCUCCAAAGUGACUCUUCUUUGUUGAAGCGGAGCUCAUUAAAUUUAAUAAAGGUAAACUUGAAAAAGAUGAGUUUAUAUGCAUCCUCCUACUCCAAAAAAACCCUGAACUUAGCUAAUCACUCAUGAAUUCCAUUGGACAAACCAAUUCAAUCAGAAAGGGACAAGACUGGUAAAAAUCAGCCAUUAAAUGAAUCUGCUCAAUAAGUGCUCCUUUAUUGGGCUAAUAAAAAUAGUGUAACCUAGUUAUGUAAAAAGGUUCUAGCACCUUGAAACCCAAGUUCAAAGUGAAAUCAAAUGCAAACUUAAUAACUUUAACAGAUCUCCCACCAUGUUCUAACUACAUAACUAUUGAGUGAUAUAAUUGCUCACAGCCCUGAAUUACCUUUUUUUCUCUAGUCUGAUAAAAAAUAUGGAUUUUUUUUUAAGCAGUACCCUUUCUCCUCUCUCAUCUUGCCUGUAACAGAGAUAAUGGAUGAGUGAGAAAAAUCAAAGAAACUUCUAGAUCCAUCAUAAUGGAGGCCAAGCCACCACACCAGCAGCAGCAACUGGAAUGGUCUGAGAGUCAUUACUAGACCCUUGUUUGGUUGGUAACUUAUUUGUGUCUCCUAAGUUGAGGCACUGCCUCACUCUUGACUUUUCGUCAGUGGUACUCAGAAGUUUGGUUCUUAAGGAACAAAUCGGCAUGAGUGGAUCUCUCCACUUUCUCUGAUGGCAUCCCAAAUGAAUGGAUGCUUUCCCUUAGAAGAUUCACAGGCUCUCACAACUUAGAAACCCAGACCACUGUCCAGAGCAGAAUGUAGUACACUUUCGCGCUAUUUCUUUUGUUCUUUUCAGGGUGUGUGGACACUUGGGCUCCAUACUUGAAAAAUGCUUGGGAUGAAAUACAGGUGAUCCAAGAAUAUUUUGACUUUUCUAAGCUGACCUCAUUAUUGAGACUACUCAAAAGGCCAGAAUGUAUGCUCUCCAAAGACCAGCUUCGUAUCCUGUUUGCCUGAUUAAAUUGUGAAAGGUGUUGGAGUGCCAGGAAUUCAAGGGGACGAAAAGUCACAGAAGGGUGAAUUUAUCCUAGAGUAGGGGUGGACUAGAUUCUCCUUACAUUGCAUCUUGAUAGUGCUGUCUUGAUGACAGAUUUAAACACUCCUCUGGCUCCAAAGAACAAGUUGUGAGAGCUGGGUGGAAAUGUCAGUUGAAACAGAAGAGCAGCAAACAGCUUUGUUUUCCUAUAGUUGUGGUUUUACUUGGUGAUGAUGACACAUGAAGAUGAAAAUGUGCAGCAUGAACUCCAGUUGUUAUCUGAGUGAGCAUCUCUGCCAACACUGAAGGAUAUGUGUGGGUGUCACCUGCAAGCAAAGAGAGAGAGAAAGAAAAAGAGGCCCUGUUUCGGAAAGAAGAGCCAGUUAAUCAAAGAUCAACAAGUGGUGAUGUUUAUUUCAUGAGCUUUAUCUUUGAUUUCCUUCCCCUCGUUAAUCUUCAAGUCUCAAUUUUGUCUCUGGACUAAAUAUAUAAGUGUCUGGUGAUUGAGGAAGGGGUGGAAAGGUGGGCUUGAAUGGGGAUCAUGGCCAUUACUAUAGUCAUUUGGUCAUUUUUUCGUCUCCUGGGCACAGAUUAACAAUUGAUAUGUUAGCUUCUAAAUGGUAUGUUAGCUUUUAACUUUUGAGAACCUGUGGCAUAUUAUGCAAGGACAGACAAACUUGAGAUUGCUGUUGGGGACCCUUUUUCACUCCCAACCCUGUGCAACUCUUGUUUCACUUGUUUUAUGCUUCUUCCUCCUUCGUUCCUAUUCAUUCGUUCAAUAACUAUUCAACGAGCACCUGCUCAGCUCUAAGAAAUGGGGUAGAUACUGGGUAUGUGGCAGUGAGCAACAUGGACAUUAUUAUCUCCACACUUACUAAAUGUAAGAGGUAGACUUUAUAUAGCCCUUUUCCUUCUUCUUUAAAUACGCUCCUCCUCUUGGUAACCAUUUAGUCUUAAUUAUGGGCUCAGACCUUCAUGUGGCUGUUUGAUAACCUCUGUUCUGUUGGUUUGCUUGAAAUCUAUUUCUUUGAGAUGUUCUUAUUUGACAUUUCUAGUACCUUUAAUGUCUUAGAUGAGGUAUUGAUAAACUUUUUCUGGAAAGGGCCAGAUAGUAAAUAUUUUAGGCUUUGCAACCACAUGGUCUCUUGCAGCUAUUCAACUCUGCCACUGUAGUGCAAAAGCAGCCAUAGACAAUAUGUAAACAAAUGAGCAUGUCUGCAUUCCAAUAAACCUUUAUUUGUAGACAUUGAUACUUGAAUAUCAUGUAACUUUCAUAUGUUACACAAUAUGAGUAUUCUUUUGAUUUUUUUUCCCAACCACAUAUACAUGUAAAAUCCAUUCUUAGCUCAUGGGCUGUUCAAAAGCAGGCUGUGGGCUGCAUUUGGCCUGCAGGCUGCAGUUUGCUGACUUAGACCCACGCCACAAUUUUAGUUACAAUUAUGUCUUUGAGUUCCAGUCACCAUCUGCAUUUUUAGGGCUGGAAGCAAUCAGUUUGGAUGUGUAAAAAGGCUUCUUGGAAGUGGUGAAUGUUAAGCAUCUGUUUUGAAAGAAGGACAUGGAUCAUGCAAGAAGGAAGAAGAAACUUCGUCUGAGGGAAAGUCAUUUUAGGUAGAAGAAAUGGGAAAUUAAAAGUAAAGAUGAGGAGAAGCUGUUUGAAUGAUGAUGCAGUCCCCUGUACAUUAUUGCUAAAAGCCUAAAAAUCUUAGGAAUUGUGGUUACUCUUCUCUCAAGUCCAGUUUGCCUUUUCUCCUCUUUUCUAAGCAUCAAAUCCUUAAAGCAAAUUUUGAGUCACAGCAGGUAGGGGCCAAAAAAUAUGGCCUUGUUUAGUGUAACGAACAGGACCACUUUCACGGUGAACUCUUCCACACGUAGCACAAUCCAAUCCAACAUGGGGUAGGUGCAGCAGAGAUCAGAAGCAGCUGUCUCAGAAUUGGCCCCCUACUUUCUGCCCAUCAUCCAUGAUUUCAAUCUGCACUUGGCUGCCAUUUUAUAGGUGACCAAGAGUGACCACCCCCUGGAAUCCAAACUUUCACAGGGAAGUGGUAAAAUCAGUUUUACUUACAUAAGGAGGACAUUGACCUGGCCCUUACCAUUCUCUCAUCUCCAUUCAUGUCUCUUGUCUACAGCUGCUGGUUACACCCAAGGUACGAACAGUCUCUGGAAGCAGUCCAGCAUAUGUGGGCACCCCAAGUCUUACACCCAUCUGGGCAAUUUAAAAUUAGAGCCAAAUGUAGCAUUUAGUCUGAUCUGUCCAGCCAAGAUGAGGAAAUUGCCUCUAAAAGGUCAGAUGAUUAAGAUCACUGUGCCAAUAGUCUAGGAUGUCAGUAAUGAAUAAAGAUUCUGGCAGAAUGAAUUUAUCCUGACUUUGUAUAUGGCAUUCAAGUUCUGGGUCUACAUGAACAGCCUCAGGAAUUCCAAGAUUUUUCUUUUCCGUCAUGUAGGCCCACUGUGUAUAUUUAUGUGUUGUGUGCCCUGCACAGGGCCCCUAGCCAAAGGGGGGUGAAGGGGGCUGAAAUCCCUUUGGGUCCCCUUAAGCUACUCACCUGCGAGAGCUAUGUCCACCUGCAGAGAGUGCCUUUCUCUACUGCCCACACAUAUGGACUGCUGAGGUCCUGACAGAAUGCUUGCCUUUCUGCUACUUGGUGACUGAAUUCCUUAGAGAAUAAAUUAGGUCCUCAUUCUCAAAACAGAAAUUAUCUAGGAUGAGCAAGAGUUAACAAUCAACCAAAAAAGUGGAAUUGUUCUUAAUACCAUAAAAAUUUCUCUCUUGGGUCCCUUCUUUAUUCUUUUCUGCACUAUUUAUUUAUUUAUUUAUUUUUCUGCACAAUUUAAUUCAGUUGGGUGGUUUUCUCUGAAAUACUUCUUGGUGGGGGGAGGGUGGUUUAGGAGUAAUGUGAGAAGAAACUUCCUGGCUCAGAUCUCAGAGGAAAAAAACCUGUGCCCUGGAGAACACCAGGUUUGGAGUUCUUUCCUGGGCUGUCCUUGGAACUUUUCUGUUAAUGCCAGAAUGUAUUCUUAUUUUGUAGUUCUCAGUACAUGAGGGGCUUGGACUAAAUAACUUCAAGUCUGAUAUCUAUAAUAGAGUGUUGUGUCUGUAAGUGGCAUCUGGAACAGUCAUUUUAGGACUGUGAGAAGAGGAGAGUUAACCCAAAAAGAACACGCAGAGAUACACAGAGUGGGAAGAGAGGAGGAACCUGUGUUCUGAUGACAUCGUUGAGCUGUAGAAUGAACCAACAUUGAAGCUGUUCUUCCUUCAACUUCUUGUCAUGUGAAACAAUAAAUAACUUUAUCAUUUAA